AGGUGGUCUUCUCAUCUGUUUUCCCAGUGAUCAGAUGUGGACGAUGCCAUGAGACCUGCAUUAGGGUGGUCAACUUGUGGCUCCAGAGCAGGUGUUAUGAGGUUGGCUGAUCUCCUCCAGUGGGCUUUAAACUAGGUUUGUCGGGGGAAGGGAAGGCCAAGGAUGGAGGGAUCCAUGAAACACUGAACCAUGAGAUACCCACAAGAUCAGCCCGGGAACCUAGACGAACCCUCAAUAUGCAUCACGGACACCAAUAAGGGGAACAUCAGCUGACCAACUGCCAGUGCCAACACAGUAAAAAGACACUUGGAGGGACUGGAUAUGUU
Long non-coding RNA from Gavialis gangeticus (Gharial), 326 nucleotides. RefSeq lists it as uncharacterized. NCBI's taxonomy places the organism in Eukaryota, Metazoa, Chordata, Crocodylia, Gavialidae. The record is from RefSeq and is a predicted model, not a curated record. The transcript has 3 exons.